RNAcentral lists this ribosomal RNA (253 nucleotides) under uncultured bacterium. Its description in RNAcentral is "partial 16S ribosomal RNA". It matches the Rfam family "Bacterial small subunit ribosomal RNA", at positions 524 to 776 of the family's 1533-position model. The record is from RNAcentral.
UACGAGGGGGCAAGCGUUGUUCGGAAUUAUUGGGCGUAAAGGGCGCGUAGGCGGUGCGGUAAGUCACCUGUGAAAUCUCUGGGCUCAACUCAGAGUCUGCAGGCGAAACUGCCGUGCUGGAGUAUGGGAGAGGUGCGUGGAAUUCCCGGUGUAGCAGUGAAAUGCGUAGAUAUCGGGAGGAACACCUGUGGCGAAAGCGGCGCACUGGACCAUAACUGACGCUGAGGCGCGAAAGCCUAGGGGAGCAAACAGG